UUUAUUAAAUCUAAAAUUCUAAGGUAUAAUUUUAUCAUAUCAUAAUUUUUAUUUUUAAAAAAAUGACAAUAAAAAAUGAAAUAAAGAAAAUGAAAGUUUAUAUAAACAAAAAUGGUUAAAGUAAUGAAAAACAAAACAAAUUGUGAAAACAAACGUAGAGUUGCUUUUAUUAGAAACCUGAAACCUAUUAGAUGGAUACAUGAAAGAAGAGCUAAGUUUGCUUUGAACAUUAUAACAUUGAUUAGAACACUCAGAAUGCAUGUCUUUGACUUAAAAUGUCAUAUACAUACACAUAUUACUUAGCUACUUAAUGUAUUUGUUUAACACAGUAGUCUUCAAGGUGACUCACAAUGUUUACCACACCAAAUCAACAUUGGUAGUAUGAUUUGCUUAUUUUAUCUCUUUCAAAAAAUUAAAUAUAGUUUCAAACAUUAAAACAAGAGAAUAUGCAAAAUAAAAUUAUAAUUAAUAUUAUUGACUUAAGUUGUAGUUAUAUUGAGUUUUAUUUAAUCUAAAUUUCUAUAGUAUAAUGUAUUUAUAUCAUAAUUUUUAUUUUUGCAACAAUGACAAUAAAAAAGAAAUAAAGAAAAUGAAAGUUUAUAUAGACAAAAAUGGUUAAAGUAAUGAAAAAAACAAAUUGUGAAAACAAACGUAGAGUUGCUUUUAUUAGAAACAUGAAACCUAUUAGAUGGAUACCUGGAAAUAUAGUUAAGUUUGCUUUGGACAUUAUAAUUUGGGUUGAAACACUCAUAUUGCAUGUCUUUGAAUUAAAGUUACAUAUACAUACACGUAUUACUUAGCUACUUAAUGUAUGUUUAACACAAUAGCCUUCUCAAGGUGACUUACUAUGCAUACUACAACAAAUCAAUAUGGUAGAAUGAUUGCUUAUUUUAUACCUUUUUUUAAUUAAAUAUAUGUUUUAAACAUUAAAACAAGAAAAUAUGCAGAAAAAAACAAUAUGAUUAAUUUUUAUUGACUUAAGUUGUAAUGUAUAUUUGAGUUUUAUUAAAUCUAAAAUUCUAAGGUAUAAUGUAUUCAUAUCAUAAUUUUAUUUUUAAAAAAUGACAAUAAAAAUGAAAUAAAGAAAAUGAAAGUUUAUAUAGACAAAAAUGGUUAAAGUAAUGAAAACAAACAAAUUGUGAAAACAAAUGUAGACUUAUUUUAUUAGAAACAUGAAACCUAUUAGAUAGAUACAUGGAAAAAGAUCUAAAUUUGCUUUGGACUUUAUGACGUGGGUUGAAACACUCAGAAUACAUGUCUUGAUUUAAAAUGACAUAUACAUACACAUAUUUCUUAGCUACUUAAUGUAUUUGUUCAAAACAAUAGCCUUCUGAAGGUGAUUGACUAUAUUUACUACACCAAAUCAAUAUUGGUAGAAUGAUUUACUUAUUUAUACCUUUUCUUUCAAUUAAAUAUAUUUUUUAAACAUUAAAACAAGAGAAUAUGCAAAAAAAUAUAAUUAAUUUUAUUGACUUAAGUUGUAAUGUAUAUUUGAGCUUUAUUAAAUCUAAAAUUUUAAAGUUUAAUGUAUUUAUAUCAUAAUUUUAUUUUAUUUUAAAAAUGACAAUAAAAAAAGAAAAUGAAAGUUUAUAUAGACCAUAAUGGUUAAAGUAAUAAAAAAACAAAUUGUGAAAACAAACGUAGAGUUGCUUUUAUUAGAAACAUGAAACCUUUUAGAUGGAUACAUGAAAAAAGAGCUAAGUUUGUUUUGAACAUUAUAACAUCGAUUGUAACACUCAGAAUGCAUGUCUUUGAAUUAAAAUGACAUAUACAUACACAUAUUACUUAGCUACUUAAUGUAUUUGUUACACAGUAGCCUUCUCAAGGUGACUAACUAUGUUUACCACACCAAAUCAACAUUGGUAGAAUGAUUUGCUAUUUUAUACCUUUUUUAUAUUAAAUAUAUGUUUUAAAUAUUAAAACAAGAAAAUAUGCACACAAAAAAAUAUGAUUAAUUUUAUUGACUUAAGUUGUAAGUAUAUUUAAGUUUAUUAAAUCUAAAAUUCUAAGGUAUAAUUUUAUCAUAUCAUAUUUUAUUUUUAAAAAAUGACAAUAAAAAUGAAAUAAAAAGAAAUGAAAGUUUAUAUAAACAAAAUGGUUAAGUAAUGAAAAACAAAACAAAUUGUGAAACAAACGUAGAGUUGCUUUUAUUAGAAACCUGAAACCUAUUAGAUGGAUACAUGAAAGAAGAGCUAAGUUUGCUUUGAACAUUAUAACAUUGAUUAGAACACUCAGAAUGCAUGUCUUUGACUUAAAAUGUCAUAUAAUACACAUAUUACUUAGCUACUUAAUGUAUUUGUUUAACACAGUAGCUUUCUCAAGGUGACUCACAAUGUUUACCACACCAAAUCAACAUUGGUAGUAUGAUUUGCUUAUUUUAUCUCUUUCAAAAAAAUAAAUAUACGUUUCAAACAUUAAAACAAGAGAAUAUGCAAAAUAAAAUUAUAAUUAAUAUUAUUGACUUAAGUUGUAAUGUAUAUUUGAGUUUUAUUUAAUCUAAAUUUCUAUAGUAUAAUGUAUUUAAUCAUUAUUUUAUUUUUGCAACAAUGACAAUAAAAAAAGAAAUAAAGAAAAUGAAAGUUUAUAUAGACAAAAAUGGUUAAAGUAAUGAAAAAAAACAAAUUGUGAAAACAAACGUAGAGUUGCUUUUAUUAGAAACAUGAAACCUAUUAGAUGGAUACCUGGAAAUAUAGUUAAGUUUGCUUUGGACAUUAUAAUUUGGGUUGAAACACUCAUAUUGCAUGUCUUUGAAUUAAAGUUACAUAUACAUACACGUAUUACUUAGCUCAUUAAUGUAUUUGUUUAACACAAUAGCCUUCUCAAGGUGACUUACUAUGCAUACUACA
This 2846-nucleotide long non-coding RNA is filed under the name Lathyrus oleraceus (garden pea). RNAcentral describes it as "Pisum sativum (pea) long non-coding RNA (PSAT_LNC031276)". Lineage: Eukaryota; Viridiplantae; Streptophyta; Magnoliopsida; Fabales; Fabaceae. The record is from RNAcentral.